Molecule: ribosomal RNA, 376 nt
Filed under: uncultured bacterium
Lineage: Bacteria
Description: bacterial SSU rRNA
Rfam family: Bacterial small subunit ribosomal RNA
Source: RNAcentral
UACAGAGGGUGCGAGCGUUGUCCGGAAUUACUGGGCGUAAAGGGCGCGUAGGCGGCUUGAUAAGUAUGGGGUGAAAUCUCACGGCUCAACCGUGAGGCUGCCUUGUAGACUGUCAGGCUUGAGCACGGUAGAGGCAGAUGGAAUUCCCGGUGUAGCGGUGGAAUGCGUAGAGAUCGGGAAGAACACCAGUGGCGAAGGCGGUCUGCUGGGCCGUAGCUGACGCUGAUGCGCGACAGCGUGGGGAGCAAACAGGAUUAGAUACCCUGGUAGUCCACGCCGUAAACGAUGGGCACUAGGCGUCGGGGGGAGCGACCCUCCCGGUGCCGUCGCUAACGCUGUAAGUGCCCCGCCUGGGGAGUACGGCCGCAAGGCUGAA